RNAcentral lists this ribosomal RNA (484 nucleotides) under uncultured bacterium. RNAcentral describes it as "partial 16S ribosomal RNA". It matches the Rfam family "Bacterial small subunit ribosomal RNA", at positions 30 to 507 of the family's 1533-position model. The record is from RNAcentral.
AUUGAACGCUGGCGGCAGGCCUAACACAUGCAAGUCGAGCGGAUGAAGGGAGCUUGCUCCUGGAUUCAGCGGCGGACGGGUGAGUAAUGCCUAGGAAUCUGCCUGGUAGUGGGGGAUAACGUCCGGAAACGGGCGCUAAUACCGCAUACGUCCUGAGGGAGAAAGUGGGGGAUCUUCGGACCUCACGCUAUCAGAUGAGCCUAGGUCGGAUUAGCUAGUUGGUGGGGUAAAGGCCUACCAAGGCGACGAUCCGUAGCUGGUCUGAGAGGAUGAUCAGCCACACUGGAACUGAGACACGGUCCAGACUCCUACGGGAGGCAGCAGUGGGGAAUAUUGGACAAUGGGCGAAAGCCUGAUCCAGCCAUGCCGCGUGGGUGAAGAAGGUCUUCGGGUUGUAAAGCACUUUAGGUGGGAAGGAAGGGCAGUAAGUUAAUACCUUGCUGUUUUGACGGUACCAAAAGAAUAAGCACCGGCUAACUUCGUG